This 392-nucleotide ribosomal RNA is filed under the name uncultured bacterium. Its description in RNAcentral is "bacterial SSU rRNA". It matches the Rfam family "Archaeal small subunit ribosomal RNA", at positions 725 to 1113 of the family's 1478-position model. The record is from RNAcentral.
AGUGAAUAGAUACCCGGGUAGUCCCAGCUGUAAACGAUGCGCGUUAGGUGUAUCGGUGACCACGAGUCACCGAGGUGCCGAAAGGGAAACCGUGAAACGUGCCGCCUGGGAAGUACGGUCGCAAGGCUGAAACUUAAAGGAAUUGGCGGGGGAGCACCACAACAGGUGGAGCCUGCGGUUUAAAUCGGACUCAACGCCGGGAAGCUCACCGGAUAAGACAGCUGAAUGAUAGCCGGGUUGAAGACUCUGCUUGACUAGCUGAGAGGAGGUGCAUGGCCGUCGUCAGUUCGUACUGUGAAGCAUCCUGUUAAGUCAGGCAACGAGCGAGACCCACGCCAACAGUUGCCAGCAUGUCCUCCGGGACGGUGGGGACACUGUUGGGACCGCCUCCG